Molecule: ribosomal RNA, 477 nt
Filed under: uncultured bacterium
Lineage: Bacteria
Description: partial 16S ribosomal RNA
Rfam family: Bacterial small subunit ribosomal RNA
Source: RNAcentral
GAUGAACGCUGGCGGCGUGCUUAACACAUGCAAGUCGAACGAGAAAUGGAGACGGACACCUUCGGGCGGAAGGCUUCAUUUCGAGUGGCGGACGGGUGAGUAACGCGUGGGUAACCUGCCUCAUACAGGGGGAUAACAGUUGGAAACGACUGUUAAUACCGCAUAAGACCACAGCACCGCAUGGUGCGGGGGUAAAAACUCCGGUGGUAUGAGAUGGACCCGCGUUCGAUUAGCCAGUUGGCGGGGUAACGGCCCACCAAAGCGACGAUCGAUAGCCGAUCUGAGAGGAUGACCGGCCACAUUGGGACUGAGACACGGCCCAAACUCCUACGGGAGGCAGCAGUGGGGAAUAUUGCACAAUGGGGGAAACCCUGAUGCAGCGACGCCGCGUGAGUGAAGAAGUACUUCGGUAUGUAAAGCUCUAUCAGCAGGGAAGAAAAUGACGGUACCUGAGUAAGAAGCCCCGGCUAACUACGU